AGGACGAACGCUGGCGGCGUGCUUAACACAUGCAAGUCGAGCGGAAAGGCCCUUCGGGGUACUCGAGCGGCGAACGGGUGAGUAACACGUGAGUAAUCUGCCCCUAGCUCUGGGAUAGCUCCGGGAAAACCGGGAUUAAUACCGGAUAUGACCACUUUAGACAUCUGGCUGUGGUGGAAAGAAUUUCGGCUAGGGAUGAGCUCGCGGCCUAGUCAGCUUGUGGUGGGUAACGGCCUACCAAGGCGACGACGGGUA
This 255-nucleotide ribosomal RNA is filed under the name uncultured bacterium. RNAcentral describes it as "partial small subunit ribosomal RNA". It matches the Rfam family "Bacterial small subunit ribosomal RNA", at positions 26 to 285 of the family's 1533-position model. The record is from RNAcentral.